UACGGAGGGAGCUAGCGUUGUUCGGAAUUACUGGGCGUAAAGCGCGCGUAGGCGGCUUUGUAAGUUAGAGGUGAAAGCCCGGGGCUCAACCCCGGAACUGCCUUUAAAACUGCAUCGCUUGAAUCCGGGAGAGGUGAGUGGAAUUCCGAGUGUAGAGGUGAAAUUCGUAGAUAUUCGGAGGAACACCAGUGGCGAAGGCGGCUCACUGGACCGGCAUUGACGCUGAGGUGCGAAAGCGUGGGGAGCAAACAGG
Molecule: ribosomal RNA, 253 nt
Filed under: uncultured bacterium
Lineage: Bacteria
Description: partial 16S ribosomal RNA
Rfam family: Bacterial small subunit ribosomal RNA
Source: RNAcentral